AAAAUUCUAAAAAUAAAAAUAAUAAAAUCGUUUGUGUCCUUUUGGUAGUUUAGAAUGUUGUGAGAAGAGUUCACAGUCUAAGAGUUAUUAAUGACAUUCAUUAAAAACUUAUGAAUCCUCAAGAGGAAUACCUCUUCCUCUAUAAUUUGAAUGUGGCGGUAAACAAGCAGUGAGGAGUGGCCGACAACAAGGGACGUCCUUCCAUUGUAGUAGUACAGGAGUAUAAAAAGUCAUAUAAAACAAGAGUAGAACAUUAAAAAGCUUUAUAAAAGAGUUCAGAGACGAGCAGUUCUUGUUGAAAGUUGCUAUUAUAAAUUCGCUGUAUUAUUUUUAAAGGAGAGAAGACGUAAUGGGCUGCGUUGGUUCUACCGUUGAUAAGGAAGCUCAGGAAAGAACGACGGCCAUUGAUAGGACACUAGCCUACGAUGGAGCGAAGAGAAAGAGCGAGAUAAAGCUCCUAUUACUAGGUGCUGGUGAAUCUGGCAAGAGCACAUUUG
This is a long non-coding RNA of Amphimedon queenslandica, 497 nucleotides long. RefSeq lists it as uncharacterized. Lineage: Eukaryota; Metazoa; Porifera; Demospongiae; Haplosclerida; Niphatidae. The transcript has 2 exons. The record is from RefSeq and is a predicted model, not a curated record.